AUUGAACGCUGGCGGCAUGCUUUACACAUGCAAGUCGAACGGCAGCACGAAAGAGCUUGCUCUUUUGGUGGCGAGUGGCGAACGGGUGAGUAAUACAUUGGAACGUACCGAGUAAUGGGGGAUAACUGUCCGAAAGGAUGGCUAAUACCGCAUACGCUCUGAGGAGGAAAGCGGGGGACCUUCGGGCCUCGCGUUAUUCGAGCGGCCAAUGUCUGAUUAGCUAGUUGGUGGGGUAAAGGCCUACCAAGGCGACGAUCAGUAGUGGGUCUGAGAGGAUGAUCCGCCACACUGGGACUGAGACACGGCCCAGACUCCUACGGGAGGCAGCAGUGGGGAAUUUUGGACAAUGGGCGAAAGCCUGAUCCAGCCAUGCCGCGUGUCUGAAGAAGGCCUUCGGGUUGUAAAGGACUUUUGUCAGGGAAGAAAGGGUUUGGGUUAAUACCCUAAGCUUAUGACGGUACCUGAAGAAUAAGCACCGGCUAACUACGUGCCAGCCGCCGCGGUAAUU
RNAcentral lists this ribosomal RNA (508 nucleotides) under Neisseria tadorna. RNAcentral describes it as "bacterial SSU rRNA". It matches the Rfam family "Bacterial small subunit ribosomal RNA", at positions 30 to 525 of the family's 1533-position model. Lineage: Bacteria; Pseudomonadati; Pseudomonadota; Betaproteobacteria; Neisseriales; Neisseriaceae. The record is from RNAcentral.